UAGUCAGGAUAUUGUUUUUCCUCUUCAUCACACAACACAAAUCAAAGCUGAAAGAACGAAAAUUAUCCGAAAGUAGAGGAGAAAGUUGGAAAAGGGGGCUAUUGUUGCUUCCUCUCUGUAAUUGGAGGAGAAAUUUGACAAGUAUCUUGGUUGGUCAACUUGGAGGAAAAGUGACCCUGCAACUGGUGCUUGCAGCCAUUGAGGUGAUUCCAGUCAAUCUUGCCGAGUUGUUGAUAAACACAUGAGAAUCUUUCAAUUAAAGGAAAAAGACUUAUCUUAGAUUCAGAGCCAAAUAAUGAGAAUUGUAGAGAGUAACGGGGAAAACUUCAAAGACAUCUUCAUUCUGAAGAAGAACAUGGGACAAUGCUUGCAAUACUAUUGUUAUGAUUCUGAACAUUUUGAGCCGGUAUAUUUGUCUUUUGUUUUUUUUAUGUUUCCUACAUAUGUAUAGAAGACAAAUCUAAUGUUAGAUAUUCAGCUUGGUAGUUUUUUAUUAGUUGAGCUUGUCAUUUUCAAUCACUAAUUUUCUAUUGAGAUCAG
Solanum pennellii is the source of this 540-nucleotide long non-coding RNA. RefSeq lists it as uncharacterized. Lineage: Eukaryota; Viridiplantae; Streptophyta; Magnoliopsida; Solanales; Solanaceae. The transcript has 4 exons. The record is from RefSeq and is a predicted model, not a curated record.